GAACGCUGGCGGCAUGCUUAACACAUGCAAGUCGAACGAGAAAGCUUCUUCGGAAGUGAUUAAAGUGGCGCACGGGUGAGUAACGCGUGGAUCAUCUACCCUCCAGUUCGGGACAACUCUUCGAAAGGGGAGCUAAUACCGGAUAAUACCUUUGGUUUUAUGGCCUGAGGUUGAAAGCUCCGGCGCUGAGGGAUGAGUCUGCGUACCAUUAGCUUGUUGGUGGGGUAAAGGCCUACCAAGGCGACGAUGGUUAGCGGGUCUGAGAGGACGAUCCGUCACACUGGAACUGAGUCACGGUCCANACUCCUACGGGAGGCAGCAG
RNAcentral lists this ribosomal RNA (322 nucleotides) under uncultured bacterium. RNAcentral describes it as "bacterial SSU rRNA". It matches the Rfam family "Bacterial small subunit ribosomal RNA", at positions 31 to 354 of the family's 1533-position model. The record is from RNAcentral.